Non-coding RNA from Paramuricea clavata, 242 nucleotides. NCBI's taxonomy places the organism in Eukaryota, Metazoa, Cnidaria, Anthozoa, Malacalcyonacea, Plexauridae. The record is from the annotation of a GenBank genome assembly.
AGAAAGCCCUAUAAAUUACUUAAUAACUCUACAUUCUAUCAUUUAAAAUCUUUGAUUGCCCUGCCUAUCCAGAUGAUUCACCCUGCCAAACCAGAUAAUUCAUAUUUUGGGGGGUGUUACACCCCCCAUACCCCCCCUCAAGUUUCGCCCCUGGUUAUACCAUAAAUAGUUCUCUCAGUUUUUGACAUUUGUAAACAGGAAGUAGAAUGGUUUUGUGCACAUGGGGGUGUGUUGAAGGUGUG